RNAcentral lists this ribosomal RNA (452 nucleotides) under uncultured Devosia sp. Its description in RNAcentral is "bacterial SSU rRNA". It matches the Rfam family "Bacterial small subunit ribosomal RNA", at positions 1 to 507 of the family's 1533-position model. Lineage: Bacteria; Pseudomonadati; Pseudomonadota; Alphaproteobacteria; Hyphomicrobiales; Devosiaceae. The record is from RNAcentral.
GUAGUUUGACUCCGUGGCACAGAACGACGCUGGCGGCAGGCUUAACACAUGCAAGUCGAACGCCCCGCAAGGGGAGUGGCAGACGGGUGAGUAACGCGUGGGAAUCUACCUAGUUCUACGGAACAACAGUUGGAAACGACUGCUAAUACCGUAUACGCCCUACGGGGGAAAGAUUUAUCGGAAUUAGAUGAGCCCGCGUAAGAUUAGCUAGUUGGUGGGGUAAUGGCCUACCAAGGCGACGAUCUUUAGCUGGUCUGAGAGGAUGAUCAGCCACACUGGGACUGAGACACGGCCCAGACUCCUACGGGAGGCAGCAGUGGGGAAUAUUGGACAAUGGGCGCAAGCCUGAUCCAGCCAUGCCGCGUGAGUGAUGAAGGCCUUAGGGUUGUAAAGCUCUUUCACCGAUGAGGAUAAUGACGGUAGUCGGAGAAGAAGCCCCGGCUAACUUCGUG